CCUACGGGAGGCAGCAGUAGGGAAUAUUGCUCAAUGGGGGAAACCCUGAAGCAGCAACGCCGCGAGGAGGAUGAAGGUUUUCGGAUUGUAAACUCCUUUUGUUAGAGAAGAUAAUGACGGUAUCUAACGAAUAAGCACCGGCUAACUACGUGCCAGCAGCCGCGGUAAUACGGAGGGUGCAAGCGUUACUCGGAAUUACUGGGCGUAAAGAGAGCGUAGGCGGGAUAGCAAGUCAGAUGUGAAAUCCUAUGGCUUAACCAUAGAACUGCAUUUGAAACUGUUAGUCUAGAGUAUGGGAGAGGUAGGUGGAAUUCUUGGUGUAGGGGUAAAAUCCGUAGAGAUCAAGAGGAAUACUCAUUGCGAAGGCGACCUGCUAGAACAUAACUGACGCUGAUGCGCGAAAGCGUGGGGAGCAAACAGGAUUAGAUACCCCAGUAGUC
Molecule: ribosomal RNA, 440 nt
Filed under: uncultured bacterium
Lineage: Bacteria
Description: partial 16S ribosomal RNA
Rfam family: Bacterial small subunit ribosomal RNA
Source: RNAcentral